This 1641-nucleotide long non-coding RNA is filed under the name Gallus gallus (chicken). RNAcentral describes it as "lncRNA (ENSGALG00010015518.1)". The record is from RNAcentral. Lineage: Eukaryota; Metazoa; Chordata; Aves; Galliformes; Phasianidae.
CUGAGACAUGCUGGACAAGAGACAGCAUGUAUGUACCUUCUCAUGUUGCUGCUGGCCUACGGGCUUCUUUGGUGGUCCAUUAAAGGCUAAGGGCAUGCUUUUAAAGGUGCUAGAAAGCACCAUGUGGGAGUUUUCACAGACCUGGACAAACAAGUAUCAGUGUGAUCUGAACACAGGAGUAAUUUUGCUAAGAUUAUCACUGUCAGCUUUCAUGAUGAAAGAACCAAAGAGAACUGAAGUACAACUCCUACGCUGCUGAAGCAGUCAGUCAUGUAGUGUGGAAAAAAAGAAAAAAGCACCUGCCACUGGUGGCUACCUCGUUUUUAUAUCCAGCUUCUGCGGUUUUCUCAAGUGUUGAACACUACAAGAAAUUCUCUUAGAGGAACAGAUGUGCUGGAGAGAAGCAAUAAAUACUUUCAAAUUUGAGAGAGGAGCAGUGAGAUAGUUGACGAGAGAUGCAGUAGGACUUCUCCCCUCAUACUCCUCACCCAGAGAAUAAUACAAUGAAGACUUCACAGUUUUAUAUUCUGACUUAACCCUUCAGAAGUGAAAUGCCACACAAAAACAGAAUGUGAUUGUCAAGAGAAAAGCCAGUCUGAAAGGAAAUAACGUGCUGACUGAUCUUUAGCCUUUUUGAGGUGUGUGGAAAACUUGGACAGAAGAAGCUCCACUUUAUAGGGAUAACUUCAGACACAGAAUCACAGUAUGGUAUGGGUUGGAAAACUUUGCUCCUUUUGAAGGCUUCGAUGGAUACGCGGUCACCUCAGUCCCCAGGGCUUGCACAGCUGCUGGAAGUAACUGAUGGAUGAGCACCUGUUAGAAAGUGGAUCUAUCUGCACGAAUAAUCCUGGAUGUUUAGAUUGUGGUUGGAAGUUGGAGCUAACAGGGCAUCACAAGGCUCUGACAUCGCUCUGCCUACUCAGGACUCCUGUUUUCUGAGAUACCUGUGGCACCUUUAUCACAACUUCACCUUACAGCAGCCACCCUGCACCCUCUGCCAGGGGCUACUGAAGACAUUUCACCUAUGACGGAAUGAGCUCCCUUUUAGGUACAGAAAGGUCACUGUCAGGUCUCCCCAAAGCCUUACCUUCGCCAGGCUGAACAGCCCCAGGAAUCUCAGCCUGCCCACAUAGGAGAGGUGUUCCAACUCUUGGAUUUCUUUUGUGGCUCUCCUCUGGAUGUGCUCCAACAGGUCUGUGUCUCUCCUGUAUUGAGGACUCCACAUCAGGAUGCAAUACUCCAGGUGGAUUGACCUAAGCCUGAGAACAUUAAGCUUCCCAUCCUUUCCAGAAGCAAAGUUCAUUCAGGCAUGAUUUAGGGUUAUUGAAGUAGUAAGAUCUGCUAGAAGACAAUGGAAGCAAAAAGAAGAAAUUAGAGCAGAAGAAAAUGAGGAACAGAGAAUGUGGAAAAAUUCCAGGAAUGAGAAAGAGACAGAAAACACAGAAGAAAGGCGGUAUAGACAGAAAAGAAAACUGUCUUUAACUAUUAUUGAGCAGGAAACUGAGAAUCCAAACAAAUGGAAGAUCAAGUGGUCCAUAACUAAAUGGAGCACUACAGAAGGAUAAAAUGAACCAGACUGGGCUGGAGGGAUUAUAUGCUGACAUAUGGAAAGUGGUGCAGAUGGAUUUCCUCAAGAUUAAA